Molecule: long non-coding RNA, 430 nt
Filed under: Gallus gallus (chicken)
Lineage: Eukaryota; Metazoa; Chordata; Aves; Galliformes; Phasianidae
Source: RNAcentral
GUCAAAACCAGUCUUUCGUGGCUCUGGAAGAGGAGGAGGACCUUCCACCAACUUCACAAAGUAGUGGCACUUGACGAUUUUCAUGAUGCCAAACAUGCCUUUCCCGUGGAGACGGAUCCGUUUUGUAUAGUGGCCUUUGCCUGCCAGUGACUCAGCUAUAUGUAAAUUUGAUUUGAAUUCCACGUUGUGAUUUCUUACUGCCAUUUCCUGAGCCUCUAAGAGAACCUCUUUGAUGAUCUUUGCUCCCUUUUUAUCAUUAAAUUCCAACUGAGCAAGAGCUUGAUCAAUGGACAUUCCUUUAAUCAGUUUUGCCAGAUACCACAUCUUAUCUUUGCUGUACUUUAUUUCCCUCCGACAAUGAUAUAUUUCAGCUGGUCUGCGAGGUUCCCCGGGCAGCUGAGGAGGGUAAACAAUCCUGUUCUUUUUCUCC